This 468-nucleotide ribosomal RNA is filed under the name uncultured bacterium. RNAcentral's name for it is "partial 16S ribosomal RNA". It matches the Rfam family "Bacterial small subunit ribosomal RNA", at positions 28 to 507 of the family's 1533-position model. The record is from RNAcentral.
GACGAACGCUGGCGGCGUGCUUAACACAUGCAAGUCGAACGGAAAGGCCCUGCGUUUGUGGGGUGCUCGAUUGGCGAACGGGUGAGUAACACGUGAGUAACCUGCCCUUGACUUUGUGGUAACUUCAGGAAACUCGGGCUAAUACCGGAUAGGAGCUCCUGCUGCAUGUUGGGGGUUGGAAAGUUUCGGCGGUUGGGGAUGUACUCGAGGGUUAUCAGCUGGUUUGUGGGGUAGUGGCUUUCCAAGGCUUUGACGGGUAGGCUGCCUGAGAGGGUGACCGGGCACAUUGGGCCUGAGAUACGCACCAGAAUCCAACGGGAGGCAGUAGGGGGGAAUAUUGCGCAAUGGGCGGAAGCCUGAUGCAGCAACGCCGGGUGCGGGAUGACGGCUUUCGGGUUGUAAACAGAUUUCGACUGUGACGAAGAGAGAGUGACGGUAAUGGGUAAAGAAGCACCGGCUAACUACGUG